This 355-nucleotide unclassified non-coding RNA is filed under the name Hevea brasiliensis (rubber tree). The record is from RNAcentral. Lineage: Eukaryota; Viridiplantae; Streptophyta; Magnoliopsida; Malpighiales; Euphorbiaceae.
GGGGGAGAGUAAGAGAGGGGAGAUUUGGCGGGGUUUGGAGAAUUGUUUUGUUUUGUACUAAUGGACACUUGACUCAUUUAAUUGGUUUGAAGCUGGACGAUUCCCUUCUGGACUUUAGAGUUUAGACUGCCUUUACAUCUAGCUAGGACUGGAUAUUGUCCUGGCACUCUAUACUGGGAAGAUUGGCAUCACUCUGUUUGUGCAUAGAUUUUAGCUAUCUAUCAGGUUUUUUUGGUAGUAAAGUCUUCUAGUUUGCAGGUCUGUGUAGAUUAUAAGGGUCUUGGUGAAACGAUGUUUUACGGCAUGUUGUGAUACCAGUCCAAUAUUUUGCAGUUGAUCUUAUGAAGCCUGGCAC